RNAcentral lists this ribosomal RNA (839 nucleotides) under alpha proteobacterium SCGC AAA298-M23. RNAcentral describes it as "SSU rRNA". It matches the Rfam family "Bacterial small subunit ribosomal RNA", at positions 33 to 916 of the family's 1533-position model. The record is from RNAcentral. Lineage: Bacteria; Pseudomonadati; Pseudomonadota; Alphaproteobacteria.
ACGCUUGCUGCAUGCUUUAUACAUGCAAGUCGAACGGAGGCCCUAGCUUGCUAGGUGUCCUUAGUGGCGCACGGGUGAGUAACACGUGGGAACAUACCUUAUAGUACGGAAUAACUGCGGGAAACUGUAGCUAAUACCGUAUAUUCCAGUAAUGGGAAAGAUUUAUCGCUAUAAGAUUGGCCCGCGCAAGAUUAGUUUGUUGGUGAGGUAAAAGCUCACCAAGGCUUCGAUCUUUAGCUGGUUUGAGAGGACGAUCAGCCACACUGGGACUGAGACACGGCCCAGACUCCUACGGGAGGCAGCAGUAGGGAAUAUUGGACAAUGGGGGCAACCCUGAUCCAGCAAUGCAGCGUGAGUGACGAAGGCCUUAGGGUUGUAAAACUCUUUCAUCGGUGAGGAUAAUGACAGUAGCCGAAGAAGAAGGACCGGCUAAUUCCGUGCCAGCAGCCGCGGUAAUACGGAAGGUCCUAGCGUUGUUCGGAAUUACUGGGCGUAAAGCGCAUGUAGGCGGAACAGAAAGUUAGAAGUGAAAUCCCUGGGCUCAACCUAGGAAUUGCUUUUAAAACUUCUGUUCUGGAAUUCAGGAGAGGAAAAUGGAAUUUCCAGUGUAGAGGUGAAAUUCGUAGAUAUUGGAAGGAACACCAGUGGCGAAGGCGAUUUUCUGGACUGAUAUUGACGCUGAGAUGCGAAGGCAUGGGUAGCAAACGGGAUUAGAUACCCCGGUAGUCCAUGCAGUAAACGAUGGGUGCUAGUCGUCGGACUUUUGUUCGGUGUCGUAGCUAACGCGUUAAGCACCCCGCCUGGGGAGUACGGUCGCAGAAUAACUCAAAUGAUGACGG